Molecule: long non-coding RNA, 819 nt
Organism: Dipodomys spectabilis (banner-tailed kangaroo rat)
Lineage: Eukaryota; Metazoa; Chordata; Mammalia; Rodentia; Heteromyidae
Exons: 3
Source: RefSeq, a predicted model, not a curated record
UGCCUGCUUCUAGGAUUCCCAAAAAGUAAGCGUUUAGAAUGUUAAUUAAGAAACCAAGUAAUCAUUAUAUACAAUGUUAUAAUAAUAAGACAGAUGCUAUGUCCCCAAUCACAGCAGCUGCAGAACCAAGGUUAACCCAACUGUGUUGGUCUCCAACACUCCUCCCUCAUCAAACCCCUCAGCUACUGUCUCUUUUCAAUGCUCCACUUGAAACAAAGAACAACUGUGGCUUUCUAAAAUGCUCUGGAAUCCACAUAAUUAAGAAGCAACCCAUCUACUAGCGAGACUCAACUCUUAGGACAUCUACAAUGGUCUGGGAAAAGGACUCACCUCCCUGGAGCCUGGAUUGUCCUGAGCUGAGCCCUGACUGCUCCUGGCUAAUCAGGACCCUGAGGCUGGCGAGUAACACUGAAAGCCAAGAGCUUGGCGCUUGUUUGGUCUUGGACUGUGUUGCCAGCUUAUGGCUUUGAAAACAUCUACCACCACCCCAGCUAUGAACCAACUUGACUCUCUAGAAGAGAAGUCUUUCUAGCAUGCAAUAGCGAUAGUGUAACCACUGGCCAUUCUAUUGCAUCCCCAGGAGGUGAGGUGAAGAACACACAAGUCAUGUGCCUUCCACUCAUCUUUACCAUAUAUGAACCUUAAUACCGCAGUAGGUGCUCAACUGCCUUCUCCCUGUUUUGAGGGGAAGGGGGGGGUAUCCUAUUUCUAUUGUUUUUUUAUAGUUUGCUCACUAUUCUAUAAAAAUAUUUUACAGAGCAUUUGAAAAUUUGAGAUCCUGCUACUCAGGCUGAGAUUUGAAGAUCAGGUUCAAAGCUA